AGCCUCAGGUCGGGCAGGGCCCUUCCCGUGGAGCCUUCGAGAGGCGCCACACUAGGUGCCACAACGGCCUGGCCCUCCUCGGUCUGCUGGGGCAAGCUAGACCCCCCAGAUCGGCACUCCCCGAAGGAGGAAUGGCCCUGAGAGCCAGGAUCGUCCCCUCCGACUCCUGGGGCCUCGGCGUCUCCGCCUCCCUCACCGGGGGGUCCGGAGUCUUCUGCCUCGUCUCCUGCCCCCUUCCUCGUGGGGGCGCUCGCCCUCUACGCGGCUCAAGGGGGCGGCGACCUAGGCCUCACUGACCCUAGGGUCGACUGCGCCACCCUCUUCACGGCCUUCAGGGGUGCGAGACCCACUGAAGCCACCUUGUGCUUCCGGCUGGUGAGGAGAUAACGCCAGUUAAAAGAAAGAGAAAAACAAAAAAUCAAAAGAAAGAUCAAAAAGCUACCACAUACCUUGCUCGAGGGGCGGCACUCUUCUACGAGCUCGGAGCUCCCUGGGCGCCUCCUGGGGCGCCAAGGGUCGUCGGGCGGAUCCCCGUCUCCCCAGCGGUUGGCACGGAGGCUUCGACAGUGGUCUCGGCCAGCGGCGCCUCAGCCAAGCCUUCCACCUCCGCCCCUGCCGAUGGGCGGGGCUCAGUUGAGCCCUCCGGCGCCACCAUGCUUGAGAUCCCUCGGGGGCCUCCGACCCCCCUCAGGCCCUUGACCCCUCUGGGAUGUCGAUCCCCCC
Molecule: long non-coding RNA, 723 nt
Filed under: Sorghum bicolor (sorghum)
Lineage: Eukaryota; Viridiplantae; Streptophyta; Magnoliopsida; Poales; Poaceae
Description: long non-coding RNA (SBIC_LNC012732)
Source: RNAcentral